RNAcentral lists this ribosomal RNA (497 nucleotides) under uncultured bacterium. Its description in RNAcentral is "partial 16S ribosomal RNA". It matches the Rfam family "Bacterial small subunit ribosomal RNA", at positions 28 to 507 of the family's 1533-position model. The record is from RNAcentral.
GAUGAACGCUGGCGGCGUGCCUAAUACAUGCAAGUCGAGCGAACAGAUGAGGAGCUUGCUCCUCUGACGUUAGCGGCGGACGGGUGAGUCACACGUGGAUAACCUACCUAUAAGACUUGGAUAACUUCGGGAAACCGGAGCUCAUACCGGAUAAUAUAUUGAACCGCAUGGUUCAAUAGUGAAAGACGGUUUUGCUGUCACUUAUAGAUGGAUCCGCGCCGCAUUAGCUAGUUGGUAAGGUAACGGCUUACCAAGGCAACGAUGCGUAGCCGACCUGAGAGGGUGAUCGGCCACACUGGAACUGAGACACGGUCCAGACGCCUACGGGAGGCAGCAGUAGGGAAUCGUCCGCAAUGGGCGAAAGCCUGACGGAGCAACGCCGCGUGAGUGAUGAAGGUCUUCGGAUCGUAAAACUCUGUUAUUAGGGAAGAACAAAUGUGUAAGUAACUAUGCACGUCUUGACGGUACCUAAUCAGAAAGCCACGGCUAACUACGUG